RNAcentral lists this ribosomal RNA (1032 nucleotides) under uncultured Chromatiaceae bacterium. Its description in RNAcentral is "bacterial SSU rRNA". It matches the Rfam family "Bacterial small subunit ribosomal RNA", at positions 8 to 1043 of the family's 1533-position model. The record is from RNAcentral. Lineage: Bacteria; Pseudomonadati; Pseudomonadota; Gammaproteobacteria; Chromatiales; Chromatiaceae.
AGAGUUUGAUCCUGGCUCAGAUUGAACGCUGGCGGCAUGCCUAACACAUGCAAGUCGAACGCGGAAGGGCUUUGGCUCGAGUAGCGUGGCGGACGGGUGAGUAAAGCGUGGGAAUCUGCCUGGCAGAGGGGGAUAACCCGGGGAAACCCGGGCUAAUACCGCAUACGCCCUACGGGGGAAAGGGGGCUUCGGCUCUCGUUGCCAGAUGAGCCCACGUCCGAUUAGCUAGUUGGUAGGGUAAGGGCCUACCAAGGCGACGAUCGGUCGCUGGUCUGAGAGGAUGACCAGCUACACUGGGACUGAGACACGGCCCAGACUCCUACGGGAGGCAGCAGUGGGGAAUAUUGGACAAUGGGGGCAACCCUGAUCCAGCAAUGCCGCGUGUGUGAAGAAGGCCUGCGGGUUGUAAAGCACUUUCAGUGGGAAAGAAAAGCGCGUGGCGAAUACCCACGCGUUUUGACGUUACUCACAAAAGAAGCACCGGCUAACUCCGUGCCAGCAGCCGCGGUAAUACGGAGGGUGCGAGCGUUAAUCGGAAUGACUGGGCGUAAAGCGCACGUAGGCGGCGUCGUCAGUCCGAUGUGAAAUCCCUGGGCUUAACCUGGGAACUGCAUUGGAUACUGCGGCGCUAGAGUGCGAAAGAGGGGGGUGGAAUUCCAGGUGUAGCGGUGAAAUGCGUAGAGAUCUGGAGGAACACCAGUGGCGAAGGCGGCCCCCUGGUUCGACACUGACGCUGAGGUGCGAAAGCGUGGGUAGCAAACAGGAUUAGAUACCCUGGUAGUCCACGCGGUAAACGAUGUCGACUAGCCGUCGGGCUCAUUUAAGGGUUUGGUGGCGCAGCUAACGCGAUAAGUCGACCGCCUGGGGAGUACGGCCGCAAGGUUAAAACUCAAAGGAAUUGACGGGGGCCCGCACAAGCGGUGGAGCAUGUGGUUUAAUUCGAUGCAACGCGAAAAACCUUACCAGCCCUUGACAUCUGACGAAUCCUGCGGAGACGUGGGAGUGCCUUCGGGAGCGUCAAGACAGGUGCUG